UCGACCGCGACCCCAGGUCAGGCGGGAUUACCCG
RNAcentral lists this ribosomal RNA (34 nucleotides) under Buddleja marrubiifolia. RNAcentral's name for it is "partial 26S ribosomal RNA". The record is from RNAcentral. Lineage: Eukaryota; Viridiplantae; Streptophyta; Magnoliopsida; Lamiales; Scrophulariaceae.